This 253-nucleotide ribosomal RNA is filed under the name uncultured bacterium. Its description in RNAcentral is "partial 16S ribosomal RNA". It matches the Rfam family "Bacterial small subunit ribosomal RNA", at positions 524 to 776 of the family's 1533-position model. The record is from RNAcentral.
AACGUAGGACGCAAACGUUAUCCGGAGUUACUGGGCGUAAAGCGCGUGCAGGCGGGGUGUUAAGUCGGUUAUGAAAGCUCCCGGCUAAACUGGGAGAGGCUGACCGAGACUGGCAUUCUUGGGUGCGAGAGAGGGGUGCGGAAUUCCGGGUGUAGUGGUGAAAUGCGUAGAGAUCCGGAGGAACACCAGUGGCGAAGGCGGCGCCCUGGCUCGCAACUGACGCUGAGACGCGAAAGCGUGGGGAGCGAACGGG